GAUGAAGAACGUAGCGAAAUGCGAUAAGUAAUGUGAAUUGCAGAAUUCAGUGAAUCAUCGAAUCUUUGAACGCACCUUGCACCCUUUGGUAUUCCGAAGGGUAUGCUCGUUUGAGUGUCAUUGUACUCUCACACUUCUAAUUCCUUUCGGGAUUGGGAGCGGUGGACUUGGGUGUUGCUGCUUUAGUUGUGGCUCACCUCAAAUAAGUUAGUGCAACUCUUGGUUGGACAUAGUACGGCGUGAUAAGUGUCUUCGCCGGCGCCUCUGUAAGGAGGGUGGCCGAUCGGGAGCUCUGUGCUUCAAACCGUCUUCGGACAAUCUUUGACAACUUGACCUCAAAUCGAGUAGGACUACCCGCUGAACUUAAGAAUAUCAAUAAGCGGAGGA
Molecule: unclassified non-coding RNA, 387 nt
Filed under: soil metagenome
Description: partial contains 5.8S ribosomal RNA, internal transcribed spacer 2, and large subunit ribosomal RNA
Rfam family: 5.8S ribosomal RNA (bases 1-120)
Source: RNAcentral